RNA transcript from Aquila chrysaetos chrysaetos, 1621 nucleotides. It is a transcript of the gene named chitinase domain containing 1, with no coding region annotated. The record is from RefSeq and is a predicted model, not a curated record. The transcript is spliced from 12 exons. NCBI's taxonomy places the organism in Eukaryota, Metazoa, Chordata, Aves, Accipitriformes, Accipitridae.
GGCGCCGCCUGAGCGCUGCCCCGUCAGCCGGCGGGGCGGUGCCGUCCGCCUCCACUUCCGAAGCGGCGGCGGCGGGCGGGCGGGCAAGAGAAAUUGACAUGGGGAAAACCACCAUGAGGCUUCUCUGUACUUCACUUUCUCUUACCAUGAUUUGCUGGCUAGCUGAAGGUACCCUGUCAAAAACAGAUGCAAAGAAAGGUGCUACAAAAAAAAUGGAAGAAAAGACACUGCAUUCUGAUAAAAAUGUGCGGGAGCGGGGACUGGUAGUUGUGGAUCCAAAGGCAAAGGAUAUUAUACUGGAACACAGAAGUUACUGCUCCAAGAAGAUGAAGGAAAGGCAUUUCUCGGGAGAUGUUCUGGGAUAUAUUACUCCCUGGAACAGCCAUGGCUAUGACAUUGCUAAAAUAUUUGGAAACAAAUUUACACUAAUCUCACCAGUCUGGUUACAAGUGAAAAGGAGAGGGAAGGAAAGGUUCCAGUUCACUGGGCUCCAUGAUGCUGAUAAAGGCUGGAUGAAAGAUGUCAGAAAAGCCUCCAAAAACAUCAAAAUAGUGCCUCGAAUUUUGUUUGAUGGCUGGACUUAUCAGGACUUUGAGAGUGUUUUUGGCAGUGAGGAUGAGAUAGAGGAGCUUACCAAGAACAUGGUUCUCCUAGCCAAGAAUGAAAAUUUUGAUGGUUUUGUAGUUGAAGUUUGGAGUCAGCUGGGAAAUCAAAAGCAAACGGAGUUGAUUCACUUGCUCGUUCACCUUUCUGAAGCUCUGCAUGAAGCACAACUUAAACUCAUACUGGUCAUCCCUCCUGCUGUUGCAGCAGGGACUAACCAGCCAGGAAUGUUCACAAAGAAAGAAUUUGAUCAGUUGGCCUCAGCAAUAGACAGCUUCAGUCUCAUGACAUAUGACUAUUCAACACCACAACGACCUGGUCCGAAUUCUCCUCUUCCCUGGGUACGAGCCUGUGUUCAAGUACUGGAUCCUGAUUCAAAAUGGAGGAAUAAAAUACUUCUAGGCCUGAAUUUCUAUGGCAUGGACUAUUCUGCUUUGGGAGCCUCUGGGGAGCCAAUCCUUGGUAGUAGGAGGGUGCCCUUCAGCCAGAGCAGAAAGAGAAGUCCAGAUGAUAACACCAGGCUUUUAAAGGCAACGAAGUCAUUCUUUCAAGACAGCAAAAGCUGCCAAAACCAAACCCCACUAUAGAUAGUGACCUGUCAUGCUAGAUUGGAUAAUUCGGAAAGAAAAAUCUGUCUAACUGAACAAAUACAAGCAAAAAGAUUGGCUGAUACUUUAGCUAGAAAAUUGAGACUUGGCAAUGGUCAAGAAUGACAAAGAUUUCUGAUAGAAAAUACGCAAAGUUGAUGCAUAUGAACAGAAAGCAACUUAGUAAACUGUUACCAUAAAUAAUUUGCACUGGAAAAAAAAGUUCACAUUUUGUAGCCCCGGGUGUCUUGAAAAAUAGAAGAACAGAACAACAAUAACAACAAAAAGUAUCAUUACAAAAUAAAAUGGAGCUGUGGAACAGCAGUGUGUUAUUGAAGAUAUACAAACAGGUACAUUGAAACCUUGAAGGAGCACAAACCAAAAAUUGUCUGGGAUGAACAAAUUGCUGAACACUACUUCGAAUACAAAAA